Molecule: ribosomal RNA, 444 nt
Filed under: Clostridioides difficile
Lineage: Bacteria; Bacillati; Bacillota; Clostridia; Peptostreptococcales; Peptostreptococcaceae
Description: bacterial SSU rRNA
Rfam family: Bacterial small subunit ribosomal RNA
Source: RNAcentral
CAUGCAAGUUGAGCGAUUUACUUCGGUAAAGAGCGGCGGACGGGUGAGUAACGCGUGGGUAACCUACCCUGUACACACGGAUAACAUACCGAAAGGUAUGCUAAUACGGGAUAAUAUAUUUGAGAGGCAUCUCUUAAAUAUCAAAGGUGAGCCAGUACAGGAUGGACCCGCGUCUGAUUAGCUAGUUGGUAAGGUAACGGCUUACCAAGGCGACGAUCAGUAGCCGACCUGAGAGGGUGAUCGGCCACAUUGGAACUGAGACACGGUCCAAACUCCUACGGGAGGCAGCAGUGGGGAAUAUUGCACAAUGGGCGAAAGCCUGAUGCAGCAACGCCGCGUGAGUGAUGAAGGCCUUCGGGUCGUAAAACUCUGUCCUCAAGGAAGAUAAUGACGGUACUUGAGGAGGAAGCCCCGGCUAACUACGUGCCAGCCGCCGCGGUAAUU